AGUGAACGCUGGCGGUAGGCCUAACACAUGCAAGUCGAACGGCAGCACAGUAUGAGCUUGCUCUUACGGGUGGCGCGUGGCGGACGGGUGAGGAAUACAUCGGAACCUACUUUUUCGUGGGGGAUAACGUAGGGAAACUUACGCUAAUACCGCAUACCACCUACGGGUCAAAGCAUGGGAUCUUCGGACCUUGCGCGAUUGAAUGAGCCGAUGUCGGAUUAGCUAGAUGGCGGGGUAAAGGCACACCAAGGCGAUGAUCCGUAGCUGGUCUGAGAGGAUGGUCAGCCACAUGGGAACUGAGGCACGGCCCAGACUCCUACGGGAGGCAGCAGUGCGGAAUAUUAGACAAUGGGCGGGAGGCUGAUCCAGCCAAACCGCGUGGGGGCAGAAGGCGUUCGGGUUGGAGAGCCAUGUUGUUGUGAGAGAAGAACAGCAGGUUAAUACGCCGCUGUUCUGACGGUACCCAAAGAAUAAGCACCGGCUAACUUCGUG
This 492-nucleotide ribosomal RNA is filed under the name uncultured bacterium. RNAcentral's name for it is "partial 16S ribosomal RNA". It matches the Rfam family "Bacterial small subunit ribosomal RNA", at positions 29 to 507 of the family's 1533-position model. The record is from RNAcentral.